RNAcentral lists this small nuclear RNA (154 nucleotides) under Nicotiana attenuata. Its description in RNAcentral is "snRNA U4". The stretch from base 19 to 142 matches the Rfam family "U4 spliceosomal RNA", at positions 16 to 138 of the family's 138-position model. From Rfam's summary of the family: U4 small nuclear RNA (U4 snRNA) is a component of the major U2-dependent spliceosome. The structure of U4 snRNA from yeast and human has been reported. The record is from Rfam by way of RNAcentral. Lineage: Eukaryota; Viridiplantae; Streptophyta; Magnoliopsida; Solanales; Solanaceae.
AUCUAAAAGUAUAGUUUUCAACGACACAUCUAGUGACGUUCUCACCGAGGCGCGUCUAUUGCUAGUUGAAAACAAUUUCCAAACCCCCUCUUCGGCCUGGGUUUUACCUUGGCCGUUUAGAAUUUUUGAAAGGGCUUCCCUUUUGGGUAAAUCC